ACGCUGUAAACGAUGUCGACUUGGAGGUUGUUCCCUUGAGGAGUGGCUUCCGGAGCUAACGCGUUAAGUCGACCGCCUGGGGAGUACGGCCGCAAGGUUAAAACUCAAAUGAAUUGACGGGGGCCCGCACAAGCGGUGGAGCAUGUGGUUUAAUUCGAUGCAACGCGAAGAACCUUACCUACUCUUGACAUCCAGAACUUAGCAGAGAUGCUUUGGUGCCUUCGGGAACUGAGACAGGUGCUGCAUGGCUGUCGUCAGCUCGUGUUGUGAAAUGUUGGGUUAAGUCCCGCAACGAGCGCAACCCUUAUCCUUUGUUGCCAGCGGUCCGGCCGGGAACUCAAAGGAGACUGCCAGUGAUAAACUGGAGGAAGGUGGGGAUGACGUCAAGUCAUCAUGGCCCUUACGAGUAGGGCUACACACGUGCUACAAUGGCAUAUACAAAGAGAAGCGACCUCGCGAGAGCAAGCGGACCUCAUAAAGUAUGUCGUAGUCCGGAUUGGAGUCUGCAACUCGACUCCAUGAAGUCGGAAUCGCUAGUAAUCGUGGAUCAGAAUGCCACGGUGAAUACGUUCCCGGGCCUUGUACACACCGCCCGUCACACCAUGGGAGUGGGUUGCAAAAGAAGUAGGUAGCUUAACCUUCGGGAGGGCGCUUACCACUUUGUGAUUCAUGACUGGGGUGAAGUCGUAACAAGGUAACCGUAGGGG
This 707-nucleotide ribosomal RNA is filed under the name Klebsiella sp. NCIM 2707. RNAcentral describes it as "bacterial SSU rRNA". It matches the Rfam family "Bacterial small subunit ribosomal RNA", at positions 797 to 1508 of the family's 1533-position model. The record is from RNAcentral. Lineage: Bacteria; Pseudomonadati; Pseudomonadota; Gammaproteobacteria; Enterobacterales; Enterobacteriaceae.